Molecule: ribosomal RNA, 386 nt
Filed under: uncultured bacterium
Lineage: Bacteria
Description: bacterial SSU rRNA
Rfam family: Bacterial small subunit ribosomal RNA
Source: RNAcentral
AUUGAACGCUGGCGGAAUGCUUUACACAUGCAAGUCGAGCGGCAGCGCGGGGGCAACCCUGGCGGCGAGCGGCGAACGGGUGAGUAACAUAUCGGAACGUACCCCGUCGUGGGGGAUAACACAGCGAAAGCUGUGCUAAUACCGCAUACGACCUGAGGGUGAAAGCGGGGGAUCGCAAGACCUCGCGCGAUGGGAGCGGCCGAUAUCGGAUUAGCUUGUUGGUGAGGUAAAGGCUCACCAAGGCGACGAUCCGUAGCUGGUCUGAGGAGGACGACCAGCCACACUGGAACUGAGACACGGUCCAGACUCCUACGGGAGGCAGCAGGUGGGGUAAGUUUUUGGACAAGUGGGGGCAACCCUGAUCCAGCCAUUCCGCGUGAGUGAAG